Molecule: non-coding RNA, 76 nt
Filed under: fish gut metagenome
Description: TPP riboswitch (THI element)
Rfam family: TPP riboswitch aptamer (THI element)
About the family: Vitamin B(1) in its active form thiamin pyrophosphate (TPP) is an essential coenzyme that is synthesised by coupling of pyrimidine and thiazole moieties in bacteria. The previously detected thiamin-regulatory element, thi box was extended, resulting in a new, highly conserved RNA secondary structure, the THI element, which is widely distributed in eubacteria and also occurs in some archaea.
Source: RNAcentral
CAAAGGGGUGCCUUCAGUGGCUGAGAUUAUACCCUAUGAACCUGAUGUAGUUAGUACUGCCGAAGGGAUUGUUGCC